This 88-nucleotide transfer RNA is filed under the name Echinostoma caproni. It matches the Rfam family "tRNA". From Rfam's summary of the family: Transfer RNA (tRNA) molecules are approximately 80 nucleotides in length. Their secondary structure includes four short double-helical elements and three loops (D, anti-codon, and T loops). Further hydrogen bonds mediate the characteristic L-shaped molecular structure. tRNAs have two regions of fundamental functional importance: the anti-codon, which is responsible for specific mRNA codon recognition, and the 3' end, to which the tRNAs corresponding amino acid is attached (by aminoacyl-tRNA synthetases). tRNAs cope with the degeneracy of the genetic code in two manners: having more than one tRNA (with a specific anti-codon) for a particular amino acid; and 'wobble' base-pairing, i.e. permitting non-standard base-pairing at the 3rd anti-codon position. Lineage: Eukaryota; Metazoa; Platyhelminthes; Trematoda; Plagiorchiida; Echinostomatidae. The record is from Rfam by way of RNAcentral.
GGCUUCGUAGCUCCGCUGGUAGAGUGUGCGUUGUACAAAAGUGAAGGCAGCCUCUAUGCGUGCGUGGGUUCGAAUCCCGCCGAGGUUU